This 428-nucleotide ribosomal RNA is filed under the name uncultured archaeon. Its description in RNAcentral is "bacterial SSU rRNA". It matches the Rfam family "Archaeal small subunit ribosomal RNA", at positions 474 to 903 of the family's 1478-position model. The record is from RNAcentral.
UACCAGCUCUCCGAGUUGUAGGGACGAUUAUUGGGCUUAAAGCGUCCGUAGCUGGCUUAGCAAGUCUCCUGUUAAAUUCAGCGACCUAAUCGUUGAGCCGCGGGAGAUACUACUAGGCUAGGAGGCGGGAGAGGUCGACGGUACUUUCGGGGUAGGGGUGAAAUCCUAUAAUCCCGGGAGGACCACCAGUGGCGAAGGCUGUCGACUAGAACGCGCUCGACGGUGAGGGACGAAAGCUGGGGUAGCGAGCCGGAUUAGAUACCCGGGUAGUCCCAGCUGUAAACUAUGCGGGCUAGGUGUUGGGGUGGCUACGGGCCACUUCAGUGCCGCAGGAAAGCCAUUAAGCCCGCCGCCUGGGGAGUACGGCCGCAAGGCUGAAACUUAAAGGAAUUGGCGGGGAGCACCACAAGGCGUGAAGCUUGCGGUUC